CCGCCCGCCGCGCCAUCGCUUCGCGCGCCUCACAGAGUCCGCGUCUCUCGCCCGGCGCCCGCCGCCCGCAGCGCCAUCUUUCUGCCGCCCCGCCUGAUCUUUCACCUCUCACCCCGCCACAUGCGCGGCGCUCGUUGGCCGCCCGGCGGGAUGACGUCACUUCCGCCCACGGCGAACGAAUGACGUGGCCCUAAGGGAAGAGGCGGGGCGCGGAGGGGAGGGGCAUGGUGCGGUCACGCCCCGUGGCGGCCGAGUGGGGCGUGGCGGGGUAGGUGCGCGUAGGCUGUGGUGGGCGUGAGCCUGCUGCCCGCGAGACGUGCGGAGCGGCUCGUUCUACGCCUUCGUUCUCGCGCAGGCAGUGCCCGCUACUCAGGCUGCCCUGAGUAGGAGGACAGCCAUGUUCGGGGCCAGAGGGACAGCCUGCUUCUAGUGUAGCCCGGGGGCUCCAUCUUUGUGAGGUACCGGAGAGGUUUUCCAUGUCAGCUUGUAGCAGCGCAUAGGCACAAGGACCUGCAGAUUAUCUUCACACUGCUGCAGAAUCUUUUUGGAAGACAUCCAACUUUCUCCUCGGCUUUCUGCUGGUGCUGCACACUGCCCUCCCCUGACGUCUGUACCUUUGGCCAUCAGCACUCCUCUGGUUCUCAGAAGGUCACAGGUGCAGUUCCAAGGGUUUCCGUCUAAAUAGAGAUGCCGGAGACGAGAUCCAAUCUGGCAAGGGUAUCUGGAAGUCUGAAUAAAAAUGAAACAACACAAAUCUGUUAUAUUCAUUUUACUGAUUCUGUUUGUACCCAGGCAUAUCUGGCAUAUUAAGUAAGACUAUAACUAACAAAAAUGUAAUCUUCUGGAAAAAAAAAAAAAAUCUGGUCCUGAAAUGAUCGUGUCCUUUUUUUUUUAAAAUUGAAGUUGUUGGAAUACUGUCUAUGCACAGUUGAGUGGUUUUCCCAAAUUAUUGCAGUUCUGACCUAUACUAACCUGCUUCACUAUGUAGUAAGUUGCAUAUUCAGCUGAGUACCAAGUGAGCUUAAAAAUGUUUUUUUGUGCUACAUAAUGCCGUAAGCAUGUCAAUGAUCAAAUGAUAGCAGCAUGAAAGAUCAAAAGUUUUGAAAAACAUGGCAACUCUACUGUACUCUCUCAAGUACUUCUGUGUAUGAUUUGUUUUAAAAAGUCUUUUAGAUCAUAACUAAAUUUUUACUAGAAGUAGAAUUUUUCUUCUUUUUUUCCCUAUUUUUUGUUCUCUUGCUGCCAGCAGGUUCAAAAGUUAAUCAACUUGGAAGUAAUUCAUCUGAUGAUAUACUUAAUACUUCUUAAAAAAAUCUGCAACAAGGAAAAUAUAAAUGCCUUUUAUGGUCUUUUGAAAUAGUACCUCAGAGAAUUAGAACUGAUUGUAUUUAGAAGAAUUAAAAAAGCCAACGAUCUCAAGAUAUGAUACUAGAUGAUGAAUAUCAUUCUUGUUUUAAUGUCUUAUAAUUUGUGUGAUAAGACUUCUAUUUCUGAAGUCUAGCUUGUUUGUAAUCUCUUUUUCUCCUGCUCUAGCCAAUGAAAACUGUUUAAUAGAAAAGCCAGUUAAUUUGUGUGAAAUGUUUUUAAUAGAGUAAAUUUGAAAUUAACCUAAAAUCAUUUUACUCUUUUAGUUUGCAAGGUGAUGAGAUUAAGAUCAUGGUUAGAGAUUUUAAGGAGACUUGUUCAGGAAAACUCUCAGACAAACUAUAAAUAAUAAUACCAAGAACUAUUUAGAAUUGAGCAGCAAUGUCCCACAGCCCAUAAAGGCUGAUCUGGCUGUAUCUCAAUGAACUAAUUUGAUAUAUGUCUGAGAAUUAGUAACAGGGUACACUUUGAUCCUCACUGGCUGUCUUUUUUGAAGCUGAAUUUGACAUCUUGGGCUGAAAGGCAGUUGCUGUUUUUACAUAGACUCUGCAACUUCAGUGGGAAUAUUUCAAGAAUAAGGGAGUUCUCUAUUGUGCUUUAUUCCCUGGGUGAGAUGAGGAUUUUAUGUGUUGAAGUGGUGAGUCAUUCCACUGGUCUUACCAGUGCUUGUGGCUGCGAUGUGUUGAUUUUGAAACCUAACUGCAGUUGAUGAUAAUAGUUGUCCAAUAUGACACUGUAAUGAGAAAGGUGUUCUCUAGGGUAAAAAGUGUGCUCUAAGGUAAAAUCCUGGAGCAAAUGAUGUCAAAGGCAAUAGGAUAUCACUUGGGAUAUUUAUCCAGAUUACAGUCUAAAGCCUGUACAGUCUCACUGUACUGAUGUUGGACUUUGCAGCUGUAUUGUUUGACUUCAAGUUCUGUUGAUCUUGAGGAAUUAACUGUGUUUGAGUAUGUGGUGUGUGAUCCUGCUGCUGGCAGAGAAGCCAUGUACAUUUAGGAGCUGACCGUGACAACCAUACUGCUGCUGUUCCAGAGACUGUCAUCAGUCUUUUCCUGCAUUCUGACCACUCACUCCCCGCAAGAUUUUCUGGAGUUUGGGCUUUUCUCUAUGAGACCUGAAAUAACUUGGACUUGUGUUCUGCUAGAGAAAAUUUCAUGUCAUUAUUUACCUUUUGAAUAAAAAGGAAAGAACCUUUCUUUUUCCUGAUUCCCGCUGAACAAGUGCUAAGUCCCAUUAAUGGUGCCACAUUAACUAUAUUCUUUAACCUGUGAUACUGGUGACUGGUAGUUCUGUCAGUAGUAAUACUUUUGUUUCUUUGUGUCCAUGCGACUAGCUGGUGAUCAACAGGUAGUUGUAUGGACACACACAAAUAGAUUAGGUACAUGGGUGCACAAGAAUUAAGUACAAAGAUUUUACUUCUCCUCGUUUCUUUCCUACUUUGUGUUUACAACCUCUCCUUGAAAUUUGUGUUGAGCUGAAAAUAAAAGACCCAAUCUCUCCCUAAAAGCUGUACUUCUUAGAGGCUAAUAGAGAACUCUUUCCUGUUAAUUCCCUUGACUACGAGGGUUGUAAAAUAAGAUGGAUUGGACAAUCCUAACGUAACUAGAAAGCAUUAAGCAUUCCUGUCAAGCCAAACUGAAAUCAAAUAUUUAUACACCACUAAAUCACUUUCUGAUUGUAAGGCUUCAACCAAAUAGAUUCAAAUGCUAAAGGAUCUCAUGGUAAACGAAUUGAAAUUUUGUUGCAUUAUUUAUUUGGGCAGUUAAAACUGACCACAAGCCAUGAAAACAGAGCUUAAUAGUGUAGUUGUGUUAGAGAAGUUGAUGUUAAGAGAAUGACAUAUUUAUUUUUAUGCCAUCUAAUUGCACAGCUUUUUGAAAUAACAAAAUUGCCAUUUUAUAUCAGGCCAGACCACCUCUGAUAAUGGCCAGGACCAACACUGUGAGCAAGGCAUUAAGGAAUAGCGUGUGCCCAGUGACUGUUUCUUCUGUGCUGCUUUGGCUGGAAUUUUGCUUAUAGCCUGAAGCAGGAGACUUUAUAAGCAAUCUGAGAACUUUAUAAUGUGUGAAUUUAAUGAAGUUAGGAAUGAUAAUAUCCACUGAAGAACAUACUCUUUUAGACCAGACUCAGCUCCUGAAAUCCUAAUAUUUUAACAGUAAUAAACUAUGUGAUUCGGUGGAAACUUCAGUUUAAAACAUGCUAUCUUUCUUUUUUAUUGAAUGCUUUAUUAAUUUUGUGUAAUUGGAGAAGAUAAAUCUAAGCAGCAGGAUACCUUCUCUAUAAUCACUGUUAUACUCUCCUAGCAGAUUCCUCUUAUUAAUGUGUUAAUUAAAUAAAGCAGCCUUACUGGCAGAGAAAUAUGAAAGGAGAAGGAUCACCAGGGAUGACAGAUAUAAUGAAAACAGCUAAUGAGUGCUAAUUAGUUCCAGUUAUGGCAGAUGGUUUAUGGUAUGGAUAGACUUCCACUAUGACUAGGUCUGAAUGCAAUUUUAUUUUUUUCAC
This is a long non-coding RNA of Numida meleagris (helmeted guineafowl), 3864 nucleotides long. RefSeq lists it as uncharacterized. The record is from RefSeq and is a predicted model, not a curated record. The transcript has 3 exons. NCBI's taxonomy places the organism in Eukaryota, Metazoa, Chordata, Aves, Galliformes, Numididae.